Molecule: ribosomal RNA, 253 nt
Filed under: uncultured bacterium
Lineage: Bacteria
Description: partial 16S ribosomal RNA
Rfam family: Bacterial small subunit ribosomal RNA
Source: RNAcentral
UACGUAGGUGGCAAGCGUUUUUCGGAAUUAUUGGGCGUAAAGGGCGCGUAGGCGGUUUGUUACGUCAGCUGUGAAAGCCCGGGGCUCAACCCCGGAGAGUCGGCUGAUACUGGCAAACUUGAGUACGGAAGAGGUAGCUGGAAUUCCCGGUGUAGCGGUUAAAUGCGUAGAUAUCGGGAGGAACACCUGAGGCGAAGGCGGGCUACUGGGCUGAUACUGACGCUGAGGCGCGAAAGCUAGGGGAGCAAACAGG